Molecule: small nucleolar RNA, 222 nt
Organism: Callorhinchus milii (elephant shark)
Lineage: Eukaryota; Metazoa; Chordata; Chondrichthyes; Chimaeriformes; Callorhinchidae
Source: Ensembl
AAGACUAUACUUUUAGGGAUCAUUUCUAUAGUCUCUGAACUGAGAAAAUGUUUUUCUGAACUUGGUCGGUUUCGCCAGCCACGAGGAGGAGACAGAGCGGUUCCUUCUGAGCGUGAAGCGGGCUGUGGGUGUUGCCAUCUGUGCAAGAGCUCACAGCCAUUGAUGAUCGUUCUUCCUCUCCUUUAUGGGGAGGUGGAGGGAGGAACCGCAUUCUGAGUGGUU